RNAcentral lists this ribosomal RNA (1171 nucleotides) under Klebsiella pneumoniae. RNAcentral describes it as "bacterial LSU rRNA". It matches the Rfam family "Bacterial large subunit ribosomal RNA", at positions 1762 to 2925 of the family's 2925-position model. Lineage: Bacteria; Pseudomonadati; Pseudomonadota; Gammaproteobacteria; Enterobacterales; Enterobacteriaceae. RNAcentral also lists the same sequence under 2 other names. The record is from RNAcentral.
UGGAGCUGAGACCAGUCGAAGAUACCAGCUGGCUGCAACUGUUUAUUAAAAACACAGCACUGUGCAAACACGAAAGUGGACGUAUACGGUGUGACGCCUGCCCGGUGCCGGAAGGUUAAUUGAUGGGGUUAUCCGUAAGGAGAAGCUCUUGAUCGAAGCCCCGGUAAACGGCGGCCGUAACUAUAACGGUCCUAAGGUAGCGAAAUUCCUUGUCGGGUAAGUUCCGACCUGCACGAAUGGCGUAAUGAUGGCCAGGCUGUCUCCACCCGAGACUCAGUGAAAUUGAACUCGCUGUGAAGAUGCAGUGUACCCGCGGCAAGACGGAAAGACCCCGUGAACCUUUACUAUAGCUUGACACUGAACAUUGAGCCUUGAUGUGUAGGAUAGGUGGGAGGCUUUGAAGCGUGGACGCCAGUCUGCGUGGAGCCAACCUUGAAAUACCACCCUUUAAUGUUUGAUGUUCUAACGUUGGCCCCUUACCGGGGUUGCGGACAGUGUCUGGUGGGUAGUUUGACUGGGGCGGUCUCCUCCCAAAGCGUAACGGAGGAGCACGAAGGUUAGCUAAUCCUGGUCGGACAUCAGGAGGUUAGUGCAAUGGCAUAAGCUAGCUUGACUGCGAGCGUGACGGCGCGAGCAGGUGCGAAAGCAGGUCAUAGUGAUCCGGUGGUUCUGAAUGGAAGGGCCAUCGCUCAACGGAUAAAAGGUACUCCGGGGAUAACAGGCUGAUACCGCCCAAGAGUUCAUAUCGACGGCGGUGUUUGGCACCUCGAUGUCGGCUCAUCACAUCCUGGGGCUGAAGUAGGUCCCAAGGGUAUGGCUGUUCGCCAUUUAAAGUGGUACGCGAGCUGGGUUUAGAACGUCGUGAGACAGUUCGGUCCCUAUCUGCCGUGGGCGCUGGAGAAUUGAGGGGGGCUGCUCCUAGUACGAGAGGACCGGAGUGGACGCAUCACUGGUGUUCGGGUUGUCAUGCCAAUGGCACUGCCCGGUAGCUAAAUGCGGAAGAGAUAAGUGCUGAAAGCAUCUAAGCACGAAACUUGCCCCGAGAUGAGUUCUCCCUGAGACUUUAAGUCUCCUGAAGGAACGUUAAAGACGAUGACGUUGAUAGGCCGGGUGUGUAAGCGCAGCGAUGCGUUGAGCUAACCGGUACUAAUGAACCGUGAGGCUUAACCUU